RNAcentral lists this long non-coding RNA (2375 nucleotides) under Hordeum vulgare. Its description in RNAcentral is "long non-coding RNA (HVUL_LNC010192)". Lineage: Eukaryota; Viridiplantae; Streptophyta; Magnoliopsida; Poales; Poaceae. The record is from RNAcentral.
AUCGCCAAAUCAUCUACAUAUAUAUCAUAGCAUAACACAAAGUGUUGCAUAUGAGAUCACAAAGUAUACCACACAGUCACAAAGUAUCACAAGUGUUCACUAACCUUCACAAGUAUCACAUUUAGCGGGGCAUGUACUACUCGAGGAGCUAGCCUCGACACACACAUGCUAAACUCCAACCAUGCUAUUGGAAAGGAAACAAAGCACAAUUAGUCGCUAUGUCGAGGAGAUGACAACACCACAUCAGGUUACAUGUAGCUCCAAUCAGCACUGCUGCUCCAUCCAUUCUUCAUGUGUCCACUGCAAUUAACCAAACAAGAAAGAGGUUCCGAUUUAUAAGAUUCAUCAUAUCAAAUAAUCUAGAAAAUUUGACACCAAGCAACUUGAGAAGCAACAUUAUUUGGAACCACAACAUACACCCAGAAAUACACCAAGCAACUUGCAGGAACACUCUUUUCUAAUUAUUAAUCCUUCAACGUGGUGACCUUCUCAACAUCACAAGUCGAUCUUCAAUCACAAAAGUCAAGCAUCUUCAAUCACAAAAUUCAAGCAUCGGCACCAUAGGAGCAAAUAAAUAUUUGGUGACAAUUAUAAUUCAAAAAAUGGUAGCGAUGUGUAAGUCACUGAAAUUUCAAAGGAAUAACCUGCCACAACUCAACGUUGAUGAACUUCAAGCCGUCAAACAGAGAUCAGUUGAAAAUACACACUACUCAUCGAAAGAACUAAUGUGCACAUAGUACUAGAACAAAUCAAAGAGGCGGGAGAUAAAAUAUCUUCAUUGCAGGUACCAUUUAAUUCAUAGGAUACCAUACAAUAAAUUUUCAAGUACUAGUUAGGAGUUUAGGUAAUAAACUUCUAAUAUGAUGACCAUCUAUCACAGAAAAUAAAAAUAUUUCAAAUGGAGUUGAUACUUACAGGUUAGAGGUUACAAAUGAUACUUAGAGGUUACAGGUUAUAUGUUGAUACUUAUGGGUUAAACAAGAUGGUUGUUUACAAUAAUUAAACAUCAAAAAAAUUAAGCAACAUCAGAAUAAUCAAACGGAGACUACCAACAGAUUGGUUUCUCGAGAUUACUAUGUAUAUUUCUAAGGUAUUAUCAUUAAAUAAAUAUAAGUUCACACGUCAAUACUGCAAUCACAAGCUAGUAGUAUCACAAAUUUAAACAUCCAUAGUCCAUGUUCGAUCAAACCGUACUACACUCUCUUUAUCGAUGAUUUUGAAGGCAUAUCAAGCUAUAAAAAUCACUAUGUGAAGUGAAAAAUGCAUAACACAACUUGUAUCGAUCGCAGCUGCAUGAGGUCUGAUUGUAUUCUCUAGAUGUUAUAGGAAAUUCAUGGCACGCAAGACUAAAAAACUGCAUUACCAUUACUAUUGUUGGUUUGUUGCUCUAGCAAGUAUUUUCCGAGCAUCGCGUGCAGAAAUAAAGCUCAAGCGGGGUAAUAAUCGUUUAAAAAGGCUGAAAGAAAAUCCACAAUUUUCUGAAGGGAAGCCCUUAUUCAUGUUUACCAGCUAAACUACCAAAAUACAAUAUAUUGUUUGUGGCAUGUAAUGGCACUUAACUAUACAAUGGUUAUGGAGAAUCAUAAUAUCCGAAAAUGUACACCUUCAUAGAACUCAAUGAAUAUUUGGAUAUUAUGCACUUGGAUAACAAUGAACUGCUAGCCAUAAAUCAUCUUAAGAAAAGUAUGUGCCAAAAAUGCAAAGCAAUUCCACUCACCUAUAUACAGUUGUCACUUCAAAUUGGAAUCAAGGAUAAUUUUUUCUAAACUUAGUUACCCAUAUGACAUAGAAAUCAAGACAAUUCUCUCUAAACCUGCAUGAAGUUCUUAACUAAAUAGACCAGCUAAAUAUCUAAAGGCGGGGAGGAGGAAUACAGUUGGGUGCCAGCAACCGAGGGGAUGGGUGACACACACGUAAAAAGGUGGCAAUGAGUGCCGGUGGCUAGUGAGGGCAUUGGACUGAUGUAUGUUACUUGGACUUAGAAUGUCCAUGUAUAGCUGAGAAUUUGAAGGAUGCAAAGAUGAAUGUCUGCAAAGAAGAUUAAAUUGCUUGUUGGACAUGAUAAAAAAAAUAUGAGAGCCAAAAAUACAUUAAACAAUAGUAAGAACGAGUAAAUUGUGCAGUGUCACAAUUGCGGCAAGACAAAUAGCAUUUGCAUACGAAGCAGAAAACUAUUUAAUGAGAAUACAAAAAAUACAAUCACACAGGUAGUAAUGUUAGUGGUGAAUUACAAAAUAAAAUGCUGUCGGUGCAUCAUACGAAUCUUUCAGGGGUCAUGACCAGCUCAUAUUAAAAUAGCACCGUUCAAAGUUGAUCAUGUUAAGUUGAAAGAGAUCACCUGAAUAUAAGUCCUAUGGUCUCAUAGAGUCCGUGUU